GGUUAAGCGACUAAGCGUACACGGUGGAUGCCCUGGCAGUCAGAGGCGAUGAAGGACGUGCUAAUCUGCGAAAAGCGUCGGUAAGGUGAUAUGAACCGUUAUAACCGGCGAUGUCCGAAUGGGGAAACCCAGUGCAAUUCGUUGCACUAUCGUUAACUGAAUACAUAGGUUAACGAGGCGAACCGGGGGAACUGAAACAUCUAAGUACCCCGAGGAAAAGAAAUCAACCGAGAUUCCCCAGUAGCGGCGAGCGAACGGGGAGCAGCCCAGAGUCUGAAUCAGCUUGUGUGUUAGUGGAACGGUCUGGAAAGUCCGACGGUACAGGGUGAUAGUCCCGUACACCAAAAUGCACAGGUUGUGAACUCGAAGAGUAGGGCGGGACACGUGGUAUCCUGUCUGAAUAUGGGGGGACCAUCCUCCAAGGCUAAAUACUCCUGACUGACCGAUAGUGAACCAGUACCGUGAGGGAAAGGCGAAAAGAACCCCGGCGAGGGGAGUGAAAAAGAACCUGAAACCGUGUACGUACAAGCAGUGGGAGCACCUUCGGGUGUGACUGCGUACCUUUUGUAUAAUGGGUCAGCGACUUAUAUUCUGUAGCAAGGUUAACCGUAUAGGGGAGCCGCAGGGAAACCGAGUCUUAACUGGGCGUUAAGUUGCAGGGUAUAGACCCGAAACCCGGUGAUCUAGCCAUGGGCAGGUUGAAGGUUGGGUAACACUAACUGGAGGACCGAACCGACUAAUGUUGAAAAAUUAGCGGAUGACUUGUGGCUGGGGGUGAAAGGCCAAUCAAACCGGGAGAUAGCUGGUUCUCCCCGAAAGCUAUUUAGGUAGCGCCUCGUGAACUCAUCUUCGGGGGUAGAGCACUGUUUCGGCUAGGGGGUCAUCCCGACUUACCAACCCGAUGCAAACUACGAAUACCGAAGAAUGUUAUCACGGGAGACACACGGCGGGUGCUAACGUCCGUCGUGAAGAGGGAAACAACCCAGACCGCCAGCUAAGGUCCCAAAGUCAUGGUUAAGUGGGAAACGAUGUGGGAAGGCACAGACAGCCAGGAUGUUGGCUUAGAAGCAGCCAUCAUUUAAAGAAAGCGUAAUAGCUCACUGGUCGAGUCGGCCUGCGCGGAAGAUGUAACGGGGCUAAACCAUGCACCGAAGCUGCGGCAGCGACACUAUGUGUUGUUGGGUAGGGGAGCGUUCUGUAAGCCUGCGAAGGUGUGCUGUGAGGCAUGCUGGAGGUAUCAGAAGUGCGAAUGCUGACAUAAGUAACGAUAAAGCGGGUGAAAAGCCCGCUCGCCGGAAGACCAAGGGUUCCUGUCCAACGUUAAUCGGGGCAGGGUGAGUCGACCCCUAAGGCGAGGCCGAAAGGCGUAGUCGAUGGGAAACAGGUUAAUAUUCCUGUACUUGGUGUUACUGCGAAGGGGGGACGGAGAAGGCUAUGUUAGCCGGGCGACGGUUGUCCCGGUUUAAGCAUGUAGGCUGGUUGUCCAGGCAAAUCCGGAUAAUCAAGGCUGAGGUGUGAUGACGAGGCACUACGGUGCUGAAGUAACAAAUGCCCUGCUUCCAGGAAAAGCCUCUAAGCAUCAGGUAACAUUAAAUCGUACCCCAAACCGACACAGGUGGUCAGGUAGAGAAUACCAAGGCGCUUGAGAGAACUCGGGUGAAGGAACUAGGCAAAAUGGUGCCGUAACUUCGGGAGAAGGCACGCUGGUGUGUAGGUGAAGUCCCUGCGGAUGGAGCUGAGACCAGUCGAAGAUACCAGCUGGCUGCAACUGUUUAUUAAAAACACAGCACUGUGCAAACACGAAAGUGGACGUAUACGGUGUGACGCCUGCCCGGUGCCGGAAGGUUAAUUGAUGGGGUUAUCCGUAAGGAGAAGCUCUUGAUCGAAGCCCCGGUAAACGGCGGCCGUAACUAUAACGGUCCUAAGGUAGCGAAAUUCCUUGUCGGGUAAGUUCCGACCUGCACGAAUGGCGUAAUGAUGGCCAGGCUGUCUCCACCCGAGACUCAGUGAAAUUGAACUCGCUGUGAAGAUGCAGUGUACCCGCGGCAAGACGGAAAGACCCCGUGAACCUUUACUAUAGCUUGACACUGAACAUUGAGCCUUGAUGUGUAGGAUAGGUGGGAGGCUUUGAAGCGUGGACGCCAGUCUGCGUGGAGCCAACCUUGAAAUACCACCCUUUAAUGUUUGAUGUUCUAACGUUGGCCCCUGACCGGGGUUGCGGACAGUGUCUGGUGGGUAGUUUGACUGGGGCGGUCUCCUCCCAAAGCGUAACGGAGGAGCACGAAGGUUAGCUAAUCCUGGUCGGACAUCAGGAGGUUAGUGCAAUGGCAUAAGCUAGCUUGACUGCGAGCGUGACGGCGCGAGCAGGUGCGAAAGCAGGUCAUAGUGAUCCGGUGGUUCUGAAUGGAAGGGCCAUCGCUCAACGGAUAAAAGGUACUCCGGGGAUAACAGGCUGAUACCGCCCAAGAGUUCAUAUCGACGGCGGUGUUUGGCACCUCGAUGUCGGCUCAUCACAUCCUGGGGCUGAAGUAGGUCCCAAGGGUAUGGCUGUUCGCCAUUUAAAGUGGUACGCGAGCUGGGUUUAGAACGUCGUGAGACAGUUCGGUCCCUAUCUGCCGUGGGCGCUGGAGAAUUGAGGGGGGCUGCUCCUAGUACGAGAGGACCGGAGUGGACGCAUCACUGGUGUUCGGGUUGUCAUGCCAAUGGCACUGCCCGGUAGCUAAAUGCGGAAGAGAUAAGUGCUGAAAGCAUCUAAGCACGAAACUUGCCCCGAGAUGAGUUCUCCCUGAGACUUUAAGUCUCCUGAAGGAACGUUAAAGACGAUGACGUUGAUAGGCCGGGUGUGUAAGCGCAGCGAUGCGUUGAGCUAACCGGUACUAAUGAACCGUGAGGCUUAACCUU
Molecule: ribosomal RNA, 2901 nt
Filed under: Klebsiella pneumoniae
Lineage: Bacteria; Pseudomonadati; Pseudomonadota; Gammaproteobacteria; Enterobacterales; Enterobacteriaceae
Description: 23S ribosomal RNA
Rfam family: Bacterial large subunit ribosomal RNA
Source: RNAcentral